Molecule: ribosomal RNA, 800 nt
Filed under: Brachybacterium sp. JSM 073085
Lineage: Bacteria; Bacillati; Actinomycetota; Actinomycetes; Micrococcales; Dermabacteraceae
Description: bacterial SSU rRNA
Rfam family: Bacterial small subunit ribosomal RNA
Source: RNAcentral
AUGCAGUCGAACGAUGACGGCCGUGCUUGCACGGUCUGAUUAGUGGCGAACGGGUGAGUAACACGUGAGUAACCUGCCCUCCACUUCGGGAUAACCUCGGGAAAUCGUGGCUAAUACCGGAUAUGAGCACUCAUCGCAUGGUGGGUGCUGGAAAGAUUUAUCGGUGGGGGAUGGACUCGCGGCCUAUCAGUUUGUUGGUGAGGUGAUGGCUCACCAAGACGAUGACGGGUAGCCGGCCUGAGAGGGCGACCGGCCACACUGGGACUGAGACACGGCCCAGACUCCUACGGGAGGCAGCAGUGGGGAAUAUUGCACAAUGGGCGAAAGCCUGAUGCAGCGACGCCGCGUGAGGGAUGACGGCCUUCGGGUUGUAAACCUCUUUCAGUAGGGAAGAAGCGAAAGUGACGGUACCUGCAGAAGAAGCGCCGGCUAACUACGUGCCAGCAGCCGCGGUAAUACGUAGGGCGCAAGCGUUGUCCGGAAUUAUUGGGCGUAAAGAGCUUGUAGGUGGCUUGUCGCGUCUGCCGUGAAAACCCGAGGCUCAACCUCGGGCGUGCGGUGGGUACGGGCAGGCUAGAGUGUGGUAGGGGAGACUGGAACUCCUGGUGUAGCGGUGAAAUGCGCAGAUAUCAGGAAGAACACCGAUGGCGAAGGCAGGUCUCUGGGCCAUUACUGACACUGAGAAGCGAAAGCAUGGGUAGCGAACAGGAUUAGAUACCCUGGUAGUCCAUGCCGUAAACGUUGGGCACUAGGUGUGGGGGACAUUCCACGUUUUCCGCGCCGUAUAUAACGCAUUAAGU